This 1535-nucleotide ribosomal RNA is filed under the name uncultured bacterium. RNAcentral's name for it is "bacterial SSU rRNA". It matches the Rfam family "Bacterial small subunit ribosomal RNA". The record is from RNAcentral.
GGACGAACGCUGGCGGCGUGCCUAACGCAUGCAAGUCGAGCGGGGAUGGUAGCUGAAGGUGAUGAGCUGGAAGCUGCCAUCUUAGCGGCGGACGGGUGAGUAACACGUGAGCAACCUACCCUCAGCACGGGGAUAACAGCUCGAAAGGGCUGCUAAUACCCGAUGGGACCACGUCAUUGCAUGGUGAUGUGGUGAAAGGGUGGACGUAAGGUCCAUGCCGGCUGGGGAUGGGCUCGCGGCCCAUCAGCUAGUUGGUGGGGUAACGGCCUACCAAGGCGACGACGGGUAGCCGGCCUGAGAGGGUGACCGGCCACAGUGGGACUGAGACACGGCCCACACUCCUACGGGAGGCAGCAGCGGGGAAUCUUGCGCAAUGGGCGAAAGCCUGACGCAGCGACGCCGCGUGAGGGAAGGAGCCCUUCGGGGUGUAAACCUCUUUGGACGGGGAGAAGUAGGAGAUAGUACCCGUUUAAAAAGCCACGGCUAACUACGUGCCAGCAGCCGCGGUAAUACGUAGGUGGCGAGCGUUGUCCGGAAUUACUGGGCGUAAAGGGUGCGUAGGCGGCCUGGUAAGUUGAGCGUGAAAUUUUUGGGCUCAACCCAAAAGGAGCGUUCAAGACUGCCAGGCUUGAGUGCGGGAGAGGACGGCGGAUUCCCGGUGUAGCGGUGAAAUGCGUAGAUAUCGGGAGGAACACCAGUGGCGAAUGCGGCUGUCUGGACCGUAACUGACGCUGAGGCACGAAAGCGUGGGGAGCAAACAGGAUUAGAUACCCUGGUUAGUCCACGCUGGUAAAACGAUUGGGAUGGCUAAGGUGGUGGGGGGAGGAAGAAACUUCUUUCCGUUGCCCGUAAGUUAACACAAAUUAAAGCUUCCCGCCCUGGGGAGAGUCCGGCCCCGCAAGUUGGAAAUCUCAAAGGGAUUGGCGGGGGGCCCGGCCCAAAGCGGGUGGACCAUGGUGGUUUAUUUGAAGGGCACGGGCGAAGGACCUUUACCAGGGCCUUGACAAUGCCGGAAACCCUUUCGAAAAGGGAGGGGGGUCCUUGACGAAUGAGGGUAAGAAACCCGGACCACAGUUGGGCCAUGGGUUUGUCGUUCAGCUCGGUUUCGUAAAAUGUUGGGGUUAGGUCCCCCAACGGAGCGCAAACCCUGGCCCUUUUAUUGCCCAGCCGGGCCGAAGCGGGGCCACUUUUAGGGGAACCUGCCCGCCCGAAUGAGGCGGAGGGGAAGGGUGGGGAAUGACGUCAAAUCCAUCAUGCCCCCUUAUGCCCCUGGGGCUUCCACCCCGUGCUACAAUGGUGCUAACAGAAGGGCAGCGAAGGCGCGAGCUGGAGCGAAUCCCCAAAAAAGCACCCCCCAGUCCGGAUUGCAGGCUGCAACUCCCCUGCAUGAAGUCGGAAUCGCUAGUAAUCGCGGAUCAGCAUGCCGCGGUGAAUACGUUCCCGGGCCUUGUACACACCGCCCGUCACACCAUGAGAGUCAGCAACACCUGAAGACACAGGGCAUCUGUGUUGAAGGUGGGGCUGAUGAUUGGGGU